AAAGAUUCUAGCAAAAGUAACUGUUGAGUGUCCUAACCACGCAUCUGUGCUUGGUUUGUUAACUGCACAGUGGCAGAUAGGAAGGCACUCCAAAGGCUCACCACUAUUGCACAGAGAAGCAUUGGUUGCCUUCUCCUCUCUUUUGAAAAACUUUAUAGGUCUUGCAGCCUUAAGAAAGCAUUCUUGGGGAUCCAUCUCACCCAGCAUAUUUUUAUUUGAAUUAUUGCCAUCUGGCACACAGUACAGGAUUACAAAGAUAAGGACAAACAGACUAAAAGAUAGCUUUAUUCUAGAGAAAGAAAAACUAUUGUGAAUUUACACAGAGGCAUCCUGACUGAAAGAAGAGGGAUGGCCCUGACAGCAUAGUGAUGGCACUUGCUUGAAGGAAACAAGCAUUUGUGAAGGAGAGGAACCGGACCACUUGGAUGUCAUACUGAUGCCACCCACCAGAGAGAGAGAGAAAAUGGCCACCAAAGUGAUGCUGCCUACCAACAGAGUGACUGCUUUAUCUCCUCUUGAAGAAAAGAGGUACAUUGACCCAUCUGCUUUGUACUGCCAAGAGUUUUAAGAAGAAAGGAAACUCCAUGAUUAUCUCUUUUUAACCUGGACCAUAAAAGAAUGAUGAUUCCUUUCUUGUAAAUCUCCCUGCUGUGCUGUUGCUAUGAAUUCACUGGAAAUAAUGGUGUGGCAAGAGAGGCAUCCUGGCAGGUGUCUUCCACAGCACAGUCAGCCUUCUGAUAUGUUGAGAGAAAUGGAACUAGUUACUUUGCAGGGUACAGCUUCUUCCUAAGCUAUUGUAGCACUUAAAGUGGAAUUAUUACUUUUUCAGCCUCUGCCACCAAAUAGCUGUUGGGCAGACAAUGUGGAGUAUUUUUAAAUGGGGAAGAUGGUGCAAGGUGGCUUUCAUCCCCCAUGUCUAGGGUUGGAAAAGAAUUCAUGAAAUUGAUGAUUUCAACUAGAUUCUUUAAGUCUUUAAGCUUGUAUUUUCUGAGAUUCACUACAAGACAAAGAAUGUGUUGUGUCAAAAUUCUGGGUCUCCCCAUUCUUAGCCCAAUUUUUAACUAUGUAACUGCAAAAGUAUCAUGAAAAUACAGAGCUGCUUAUUUUGAUGAUUUGGAUAUUGAUUCAGGAAAACUCCAGAUUCCUUUUAAUAAGGCUGGCAGAAACAUAUAAGCAUUACAUAUUCCAGACAUCAGAAUAAUACUUUUGCCUAGCUAUGUUGAAUCCAUACCUAGCCUCUGAAUAUUAUUAUUCCUGUCUUUGGUGUAUUACAAAUCAAUUGAACCAUCUAAAAGAGUUAUGUCUGGAUUUAAAACAGCCAUCCAUUCGAUUCCAUCUCUACCCUACUGUAGCUUUAAGAUAACCCUGUAAUGGCAGAGUUGCACCUUCAUUGGCAAUUCAUAACCCACUCUGUGCAACGGGUGCAAGCUUCAGUGCUUGCAAAAAUGGGAAGGGAGUCAGCAAAUUAAAAUGUUUAGUAAACAAAAUUGUCCAAAGGGAAAUCAUUAGCAAAAUCAGAUCCUCUCAAGGUGCUCAGUGGAAAGUAAAAUUGCCUCAUUACAUAAAACACUAGACACAGAGCAUAUCGAGUUCAACACCUGCUAGUGAGGGUGAUGGGGAGGAGAUUUUUUGUUUCCCAACAAAACAAUCUCAUUCUCAAUAUGCCGAAUCACCAUGUAAUAACACAGGUGCAUGUAUGACAGUGAAUAUAUGAUAAAAAUGGAAACAAAAUUUGAAAAUGUUUUGUCAAUGGUUGGAAAAGGGGCUUUCUGGAUCUCAGUUAAACCUGAUGAAAAAGAAUCUCUGCAGUUUGGAUCUUUUCUGCUCAAGAAGAAGAAUGGACAUUUCUUUAUUUCUUUCUGCACAAAGAAAAACAUGGUAUGCCUGUGUAUUUUUAAAAAAACAAACAAACUAUAAACAACCUUCAAAGCUG
Long non-coding RNA from Anolis carolinensis (green anole), 1933 nucleotides. RefSeq lists it as uncharacterized. The transcript is spliced from 2 exons. The record is from RefSeq and is a predicted model, not a curated record. NCBI's taxonomy places the organism in Eukaryota, Metazoa, Chordata, Lepidosauria, Squamata, Anolidae.